This 267-nucleotide ribosomal RNA is filed under the name uncultured Marinovum sp. RNAcentral describes it as "partial 16S ribosomal RNA". It matches the Rfam family "Bacterial small subunit ribosomal RNA", at positions 1 to 291 of the family's 1533-position model. The record is from RNAcentral. Lineage: Bacteria; Pseudomonadati; Pseudomonadota; Alphaproteobacteria; Rhodobacterales; Roseobacteraceae.
GAAUUCGCCCUUAGAGUUUGAUCCUGGCUCAGAACGAACGCUGGCGGCAGGCCUAACACAUGCAAGUCGAGCGAGCUCUUCGGAGCUAGCGGCGGACGGGUUAGUAACGCGUGGGAACGUGCCCUUCACUGCGCAAUAGCCACCAGAAACGGUGAGUAAUACCGCAUACGCCCUUCGGGGGAAAGAUUUAUCGGUGAAGGAUCGGCCCGCGUUAGAUUAGAUAGUUGGUGGGGUAACGGCCUACCAAGUCUACGAUCUAUAGCUGGU